CGGAAUCUACUUUUUCGUGGGGGAUAACGUAGGGAAACUUACGCUAAUACCGCAUACGACCUACGGGUGAAAGCAGGGGAUCUUCGGACCUUGCGCGAUUGAAUGAGCCGAUGUCGGAUUAGCUAGUUGGCGGGGUAAAGGCCCACCAAGGCGACGAUCCGUAGCUGGUCUGAGAGGAUGAUCAGCCACACUGGAACUGAGACACGGUCCAGACUCCUACGGGAGGCAGCAGUGGGGAAUAUUGGACAAUGGGCGCAAGCCUGAUCCAGCCAUACCGCGUGGGUGAAGAAGGCCUUCGGGUUGUAAAGCCCUUUUGUUGGGAAAGAAAUCCAGCUGGUUAAUACCCGGUUGGGAUGACGGUACCCAAAGAAUAAGCACCGGCUAACUUCGUGCCAGCAGCCGCGGUAAUACGAAGGGUGCAAGCGUUACUCGGAAUUACUGGGCGUAAAGCGUGCGUAGGUGGUCGUUUAAGUCCGUUGUGAAAGCCCUGGGCUCAACCUGGGAACUGCAGUGGAUACUGGGCGACUAGAGUGUGGUAGAGGGUAGCGGAAUUCCUGGUGUAGCAGUGAAAUGCGUAGAGAUCAGGAGGAACAUCCAUGGCGAAGGCAGCUACCUGGACCAACACUGACACUGAGGCACGAAAGCGUGGGGAGCAAACAGGAUUAG
Molecule: ribosomal RNA, 666 nt
Filed under: uncultured Stenotrophomonas bacterium
Lineage: Bacteria; Pseudomonadati; Pseudomonadota; Gammaproteobacteria; Lysobacterales; Lysobacteraceae
Description: bacterial SSU rRNA
Rfam family: Bacterial small subunit ribosomal RNA
Source: RNAcentral